CCUACGGGAGUCAGCAGUGAGGAAUAUUGGUCACUGGACGGAAGUCUGAACCAGCCAUGCCGCGUGCAGGAAGACGGCUCUAUGAGUUGUAAACUGCUUUUGUACAAGGGUAAACCUGAAUACGUGUAUUCAGCUGAAAGUACUGUACGCAUAAGGAUCGGCUAACUCCGUUCCAGAAGCCGCGGUAAUACGGAGGAUCCAAGCGUUAUCCGGAUUUAUUGGGUUUAAAGGUUGCGUAUGCAGAUUGAUAAGUUAGAGGUGAAAUGUCCGAGCUUAACUCGGGAACUGCCUCUAAUACUGUUGAUCGAGAGAGUAGAUGCGGUAGGCGGAAUGUAUGGUGUAGCGGUGAAAUGCUUAGAGAUCAUACAGAACACCGAUUGCGAAGGCAGCUUACCAAUCUAUAUCUGACGUUGAGGCACGAAAGCGUGGGGAGCAAACAGGAUUAGAUACCCUUGUAGCC
This 460-nucleotide ribosomal RNA is filed under the name uncultured bacterium. RNAcentral's name for it is "partial 16S ribosomal RNA". It matches the Rfam family "Bacterial small subunit ribosomal RNA", at positions 338 to 795 of the family's 1533-position model. The record is from RNAcentral.